GAGACCGCUGGCGCUAAGUCAGAGGAAGGAGUGGUCGACGGUAGGUCAGUAUGCCCCGAAUAUCCCGGGCUACACGCGGGCUACAAUGGACUGGACAAUGGGUAACAACACCGAAAGGUGAGGUCAAUCUCUUAAACCUGUCCUUAUUCCGGAUUGAGGGCUGAAACUCGCCCUCAUGAAGAUGGAAUCCGUAGUAAUCGCAUUUCAAAACAGUGCG
Molecule: ribosomal RNA, 217 nt
Filed under: uncultured archaeon
Lineage: Archaea
Description: partial 16S ribosomal RNA
Rfam family: Archaeal small subunit ribosomal RNA
Source: RNAcentral